Molecule: long non-coding RNA, 409 nt
Organism: Camelina sativa (false flax)
Lineage: Eukaryota; Viridiplantae; Streptophyta; Magnoliopsida; Brassicales; Brassicaceae
Source: RefSeq, a predicted model, not a curated record
UUUACUCCUUGCUUGCGUGAGUUUUUAGACGCGCACGUGAAAUCGUCUGUUCAUCCGACUUUACUUGUACCGUUCUUCUGUUUUUUCGGAGAAUCGAUCAUCAUCGUAAUUACAGGGCUUCCACGUUACAGUACUUCUCUCAUGGACAAUGAUUUUUUGCAAAUUCGCCGUUACAUGCGCGACGUUAUCUUCGGCAAGUUGAGAAGCAGAAUCCCUUUCCGUCUGAUGAUGGAUCAAAGGCCAAGUGUUUAGAUGCUGCUAAACGCUUAGAGGAGGGACUUUAUAUAAUGGCUAUGACAAAGGAGGAGUACUCAGGCCCGGCCCUUGACAUAUCCUUAUGAUACAUUCGUAUCGGGCCUCAAAAUAAAAGCCCAAUUAUUUUUUCUUUUGUAAUGCUUAAGAAAGCCUG